GUCAAUAUGGCACCAGGUGUCUGAGUUUAGAACUUCUCUGGUCUGUUGUCUUUAGAGAUAAAAUUUCUUAUCUGUCUUAGUUACUUUCUUAUUUUUGAGACACAGUAGCUGACAUCCACAACUUAAUGGAGGUGAGGUUUAUUUUGGUUCACAGAUUGUAGAUGUUUCAGUCCAUAGUUGGCUGGCUCCAAGGCAGAAUGGCAUGGCAGAGGGGCAUGGCACAGGAGAAAUGGUUAUGGCAUGGGAGCAGGAAGCAGAGAGAGAUCAAGGGAGAAGGGAGGGAAAUCUACCCUUCCAGGACACACCCCCAGUGACCCAUCAGUGGACUAAUCCACUGUGCAUCACACCUCCCAAAAGCCCGACCUAUGAGCACAUGAGGCUGUAGGGGGACAUCUAGAUAAAAACCAUAAUGUUAUUCUCUGUUGGGGAUAAGGAAAGGAAGUAGUUGGUUGUAUAAUGGGGAAGGGCUCUUUGGCUAACAUGUUUCUUUUAAACACUUUCCUCCCAGUCUCUUAUUUCUAGAACAAUACUACCUGUCUACUUUUAGAAGGACCACAUGUCUCCAAUUUCUGAUCUCUUCCAAGCUUCCACUGCCUGGAUCAACUUGCAUCUUAAUUUCUUCUCCUGCUAUAAGCCUAUGCUGAAGGACAAACUGUACUAUCCCUUCACUGCAAGCAGAGGACUGCGAUUGCAGACCUGGGCAAAUGUGGGUGCAUAACGCUAGGAGGAUACAGGCCUGCAGACAACACCAGAGAGGCAUGCUCCCAUCCCAGCAGGGCAUGAUCAUCUUACCAUGGCUAGGAGGAAGAAAUGGGAAUGCAAAAAAACUUGUUUGUUUUAAAAUCUCCAAGGCUUUUUGCUAGAACCAAGUGUCAACAACAGUGUGCUAUCUGGUCCAAGAGCCUGCCUGAGGCCAUCAUCACCUGGCAGCUUUUUGCUUCCCUGUUUUAAUAUAGAUAAGUUAAAGACUGAUGCCUGACCAAAACAACACUUUUAACAAUUAAAAAUUUAAAUAAAG
Heterocephalus glaber (naked mole-rat) is the source of this 1018-nucleotide long non-coding RNA. Lineage: Eukaryota; Metazoa; Chordata; Mammalia; Rodentia; Bathyergidae. The record is from Ensembl.